This 810-nucleotide ribosomal RNA is filed under the name Salmonella enterica subsp. enterica serovar Enteritidis. RNAcentral's name for it is "partial 23S ribosomal RNA". It matches the Rfam family "Bacterial large subunit ribosomal RNA", at positions 683 to 1495 of the family's 2925-position model. Lineage: Bacteria; Pseudomonadati; Pseudomonadota; Gammaproteobacteria; Enterobacterales; Enterobacteriaceae. The record is from RNAcentral.
CUUAACCGGGCGUUAAGUUGCAGGGUAUAGACCCGAAACCCGGUGAUCUAGCCAUGGGCAGGUUGAAGGUUGGGUAACACUAACUGGAGGACCGAACCGACUAAUGUUGAAAAAUUAGCGGAUGACCUGUGGCUGGGGGUGAAAGGCCAAUCAAACCGGGAGAUAGCUGGUUCUCCCCGAAAGCUAUUUAGGUAGCGCCUCGUGAAUUCAUCUCCGGGGGUAGAGCACUGUUUCGGCUAGGGGGCCAUCCCGGCUUACCAACCCGAUGCAAACUGCGAAUACCGGAGAAUGUUAUCACGGGAGACACACGGCGGGUGCUAACGUCCGUCGUGAAGAGGGAAACAACCCAGACCGCCAGCUAAGGUCCCAAAGUCAUGGUUAAGUGGGAAACGAUGUGGGAAGGCCCAGACAGCCAGGAUGUUGGCUUAGAAGCAGCCAUCAUUUAAAGAAAGCGUAAUAGCUCACUGGUCGAGUCGGCCUGCGCGGAAGAUGUAACGGGGCUAAACCAUGCACCGAAGCUGCGGCAGCGACACUGUGUGUUGUUGGGUAGGGGAGCGUUCUGUAAGCCUGUGAAGGUGUGUCGUGAGGCAUGCUGGAGGUAUCAGAAGUGCGAAUGCUGACAUAAGUAACGAUAAAGCGGGUGAAAAGCCCGCUCGCCGGAAGACCAAGGGUUCCUGUCCAACGUUAAUCGGGGCAGGGUGAGUCGACCCCUAAGGCGAGGCCGAAAGGCGUAGUCGAUGGGAAACGGGUUAAUAUUCCCGUACUUGGUGUUACUGCGAAGGGGGGACGGAGAAGGCUAUGUUGGCCGGG